AGAGACAGGCGGCGAGAGCUUUCCUCGGGCAGCUGUGGGCCAUGGACCUUUUCAUCACCAUUUUUCUUUUUUCUUCCUUUUUUUUUGUUGUUUUUUGAACCUGGUUCAUCUGCCCAUCCAGCGGAGCGGAGGUGCAGAGCAGCCGACAGCGACUUGCACUGACCCGGCGCAGAGGCGGCAAUGAGGCGCGGGUGCUGCGGGUCCGCGGGGGCCCCGGGCGGCCGAGGCGGAGCGGGGCGCCGGCGACGGGAACGGGGACACCUCGGCCGAGGAGGGCGCCCGGCUGGGCAGCCGCCCCGGGAGAGCUGCCGGCGGGAGAUGCGGCGCUCUCCGUCCCGCCGGCGGGAGGCUGCUGAAGACGUUUUGCCUCCUUUUAAGCUCGCCGUUAAAGAAAACCAGCUGUGAACAUCAAAUGCCAAGGAGCUAUUAAUAGAUAUAUAUACCGUAUGUAAAAGCAAAUGAGUGGCACUUUUUUCCCCCUGGAGUCCAUCCUUGACUGCUUUGGGUAGCAGAGGGGCUCAGCUCAGCCCCUUCUGCCGUGCGUGUAUUUAUGGGGCUCAGCGAAGCUCUGUCAUUGCAGAUGUCUUGAGAAAUUUGCUUGCUGUAAAUCAUAUUUUACUGCUGCCGCGACUCGGGCUGUCCCCUGCUUCAAGCUGCUGGAGCCACGAUGAGACCGGACUGACGGCCAGCCCCCGAGAAACUCCUUCAAGCGAAAGCCUGGUCCUCCACCAUGUGUUGCCUCCUCCGUGUUUAGGGUGGCGGGUGAUGCUGCGCGCUGUCAAAAACUUCUCCUGUAAAAAAAUACUAGGGGGAAUUAAAAAAGAGAAAGACUUCUCCCCCUUUCCCCUGCGAGAGAGCUGCCGGCAGCGUCGACGUGCUUGGAAGUGGAGCCCGUUGAGGUGGUGUCUGCUGGCCGUGCCUGCACGAGUGUCCCCGCGGGCCAAAUUAAUCACCCAGCGCUUUUAUGCCUCUUUCUGAAGUGCGGCAGAGGGAGGCCACCUCCUCCAGGAUGCCGGCAGCCAGCACGGGCUCGAUAACUCGCCUGCUCUUUGUGGGAGUAGAUCUGCUUCGUCCCGUUAACUCCUACCACGCUGCGUUACACGGGCUCUGCAAAAUGCCUGGGCCCUCACCAGCUAAACCUGAGAUUGCAGUUAGCUACAGCUUUCAGUGCUUCCACCAAAAUCCCCUCCCUCGCUGAGUAUUUCCUCUGGUCACAUUUUCAGUACAGCAGAUACCAAAAGACUGUAACUGUGUUCUUUGUUGAUCCCUGCAUAAACCCAGCUCUGGAUCUGGUCUAAUGUGCAUGGCACCAGGCUAUUUCAGUAUCAUUUUUCACURUAUAAAUAUAGAUGUUUUAGAUGCAAUCUUUACAGCUAAAGAGUGAUAGUAGGCAAUGAAGAAUAAAUGCAAUUGCUUCACCA
Molecule: long non-coding RNA, 1421 nt
Filed under: Dromaius novaehollandiae (emu)
Lineage: Eukaryota; Metazoa; Chordata; Aves; Casuariiformes; Dromaiidae
Description: lncRNA (ENSDNVG00000015612.1)
Source: RNAcentral